Molecule: ribosomal RNA, 429 nt
Filed under: Gemmatimonadota bacterium
Lineage: Bacteria; Pseudomonadati; Gemmatimonadota
Description: Gemmatimonadetes bacterium partial 16S ribosomal RNA
Rfam family: Bacterial small subunit ribosomal RNA
Source: RNAcentral
UAGGGAAUCUUCGGCAAUGGACGAAAGUCUGACCGACCAACGCCGCGUGAGUGAAGAAGGUUUUCGGAUCGUAAAACUCUGUUGUUCGAGAAGAACAAGGACGUUAGUAACUGAACGUCCCCUGACGGUAUCUAACCAGAAAGCCACGGCUAACUACGUGCCAGCAGCCGCGGUAAUACGUAGGUGGCAAGCGUUGUCCGGAUUUAUUGGGCGUAAAGCGAGCGCAGGCGGUUUCUUAAGUCUGAUGUGAAAGCCCCCGGCUCAACCGGGGAGGGUCAUUGGAAACUGGGAGACUUGAGUGCAGAAGAGGAGAGUGGAAUUCCAUGUGUAGCGGUGAAAUGCGUAGAUAUAUGGAGGAACACCAGUGGCGAAGGCGGCUCUCGGGUCUGUAACUGACGCUGAGGCGCGAAAGCGUGGGGAGCAAACAGG